AGUGAACGCUGGCGGUAGGCCUAACACAUGCAAGUCGAACGGCAGCACAGUAAGAGCUUGCUCUUACGGGUGGCGAGUGGCGGACGGGUGAGGAAUACAUCGGAAUCUACUUUUUCGUGGGGGAUAACGUAGGGAAACUUACGCUAAUACCGCAUACGACCUACGGGUGAAAGCAGGGGAUCUUCGGACCUUGCGCGAUUGAAUGAGCCGAUGUCGGAUUAGCUAGUUGGCGGGGUAAAGGCCCACCAAGGCGACGAUCCGUAGCUGGUCUGAGAGGAUGAUCAGCCACACUGGAAGUGAGACACGGUCCAGACUCCUACGGGAGGCAGCAGUGGGGAAUAUUGGACAAUGGGCGAAAGCCUGAUCCAGCCAUACCGCGUGGGUGAAGAAGGCCUUCGGGUUGGAAAGCCCUUUUGUUGGGAAAGAAAAGCAGCAGGUUAAUACGCCGCUGUUCUGACGGUACCCAAAGAAUAAGCACCGGCUAACUUCGUG
RNAcentral lists this ribosomal RNA (492 nucleotides) under uncultured bacterium. Its description in RNAcentral is "partial 16S ribosomal RNA". It matches the Rfam family "Bacterial small subunit ribosomal RNA", at positions 29 to 507 of the family's 1533-position model. The record is from RNAcentral.